Non-coding RNA from Hypoxylon trugodes, 113 nucleotides. The record is from the annotation of a RefSeq genome assembly. Lineage: Eukaryota; Fungi; Ascomycota; Sordariomycetes; Xylariales; Hypoxylaceae.
GUGGUCGUGGUAUAGUGGUUGAAGGUAUGACGGAUUAGAAAAACUAACGAGGAGGAUCUCUGAUCGCACCGAGGGUUUUUCGUAGGUCGAGGGUUCGAAUCCAGCGGGGCGCG